RNAcentral lists this small RNA (306 nucleotides) under Pseudomonas psychrophila. Its description in RNAcentral is "Pseudomonas sRNA P20". The stretch from base 95 to 306 matches the Rfam family "PhrS". The record is from RNAcentral. Lineage: Bacteria; Pseudomonadati; Pseudomonadota; Gammaproteobacteria; Pseudomonadales; Pseudomonadaceae.
UUUGCUGAUCUGCAUCAACUUUUCUUCCACGUCCCCGCCGUGCCGCGACCACUAUUGAUCCCGGUCAAGGUAAGCGCCUGCUUGUGUGGUUAAUCUAGCUCCAACACAAACAGACACGUGCAGGAGGCCGUCAUGUUUCUCGACAAUGUGGUUAUCGCAGGGGUAGUGACGGUCGGUCUCAUGGUGUUGUUCUUCGCAGGUCUGGGUUUUUUUAUCUGGAAAGACGCCCAGAAGCGCAAUAAGUAGCGCCGGGUCUUUCUGGUACACGAGCACGCAAGGCAUUUUGGGCGACUUCGGUCGCCUAUU